Molecule: ribosomal RNA, 253 nt
Filed under: uncultured bacterium
Lineage: Bacteria
Description: partial 16S ribosomal RNA
Rfam family: Bacterial small subunit ribosomal RNA
Source: RNAcentral
AACGUAGGGGACGAGCGUUGUCCGGAUUUAUUGGGCGUAAAGCGCGCGCAGGCGGCUACGCAAGUCGGGUGUGAAAACCCGGGGCUCAACCCCGGGCCUGCAUUCGAUACUGCGUGGCUAGAGGCAGGUAGGGGAGAUCGGAAUUCCUGGUGUAGCGGUGAAAUGCGCAGAUAUCAGGAGGAACACCGGUGGCGAAGGCGGAUCUCUGGGCCUGUCCUGACGCUCAGGCGCGAAAGCUAGGGGAGCGAACAGG